This 465-nucleotide ribosomal RNA is filed under the name Vreelandella stevensii. RNAcentral describes it as "partial 16S ribosomal RNA". It matches the Rfam family "Bacterial small subunit ribosomal RNA", at positions 338 to 795 of the family's 1533-position model. The record is from RNAcentral. Lineage: Bacteria; Pseudomonadati; Pseudomonadota; Gammaproteobacteria; Oceanospirillales; Halomonadaceae.
CCUACGGGCGGCAGCAGUGGGGAAUAUUGGACAAUGGGGGGAACCCUGAUCCAGCCAUGCCGCGUGUGUGAAGAAGGCCCUCGGGUUGUAAAGCACUUUCAGUGAGGAAGAACGCCUGGUGGUUAAUACCCAUCAGGAAAGACAUCACUCACAGAAGAAGCACCGGCUAACUCCGUGCCAGCAGCCGCGGUAAUACGGAGGGUGCGAGCGUUAAUCGGAAUUACUGGGCGUAAAGCGCGCGUAGGUGGCUUGAUAAGCCGGUUGUGAAAGCCCCGGGCUCAACCUGGGAACGGCAUCCGGAACUGUCCAGCUAGAGUGCAGGAGAGGAAGGUAGAAUUCCCGGUGUAGCGGUGAAAUGCGUAGAGAUCGGGAGGAAUACCAGUGGCGAAGGCGGCCUUCUGGACUGACACUGACACUGAGGUGCGAAAGCGUGGGUAGCAAACAGGAUUAGAUACCCCAGUAGUC